AGUUUUAAGAUGAGGUUGAACUAAGCUUUCCAAAAAUGUGACCCAGAAAACAAUUUAGUUGAGCAACCCUGCAGUCAAGCAUACCGCCGGACCAUUUCACCGUGCGUGUCCACUCACCGAUGCGUGCUGUGAUCACACCCAUGAACAACAGGAUAAUGGAGAUGUAAGACUCGGGCGUGCUACCAGAGGGCACGUUGUCGAACAGCACAGUAUUGUUGGUCCAGUGGAUGGAGGAGCGGUCCGGUAGAAGCGGCUGAUUGCUGCCUCCCCUCAGAGGAUAAGUGUGUUUUUGUCUUUGGCUCGCCAUCCCUCCGAGCUCAGAGGAGGAGUUCGAGGUAAAGUAGGGCAUCAGCAAGCUAAGAUCCAUGGGGCUGCCCGGGGCAAAGACGGAGCACACGCAGAGUAGCAAGCAGCCCAGGUGGAGGCAGCUGGAGAUGAUGCCGGUGUUGACGAGACCGUAUGUCUUCCUCAGUCUCGUAAACAUGACAGUCCCCAUCAAGCCGGUGAUGGCCGAGACGCCCAUCAGUAAACUGAGGAGGGAGCCGCUUAUGCCCUGAGUGUAGGCGUAGCCGGUGGUGAUGCAGUCAAAGCCCAGCACUGUGGUGUAGAGGAACGCCAGGCCCAUUCCCGCCAGGAAGACAGGCUGGUGGUAGUAGGCCGUCCAUCCUUCUUUGCACGUGCUCACCAGCCAGCGGAACCUCCGGAAGCACAGGGGGAGAUCGGUGUGAUCCAGCUCCACCGCUGGCGGUUUGACUGAAAGAGCAGGAACGAUGCGGUACACCCGGGACAAGAAGAAGAACUCCACUAUGAGAGACACAAGGUUCCAUCCCAGGAUGAAGCCACAUCCAACUACAUUGGAGGCCAGGGUCAUGACCUGUCCCACCGCUAGCGGGGCCAGGAUGUUAGUCACCUGAUCUAUCCGCCUCAUGGUGGCAUUCAUUCCUUUUGUCAGGAUUAGAGAAGCAGGUGCGUUAAAGCUUUUUGCACAACGCCGCCAUUAACGCACGAGCGAGUCCUCUUACCAGCUAGGUGGCCCCGGUUGUAGCCGGUGAUGACUACGAUCCAGUCCCGCUGGAUGGCAAUGGUCAGCGCGGUGCUUGCAAGGUUUGCCACAUCUGCCAGGACGAUCACCACCGUAUAACAAACCACCUUGUGUCAGCUCACCUGGUAUACUCCUGGCUUUUUUGGCUCUGGCAUUCCUGAUGUCGUCAGACUCGAACUCGACCACAACGCCGCCGCAUUGGGAGGACUCUGCUCGCUGGGACAUUGCCUUAAAGAGAUGGUAUGCUAGUUUUUUUUGAGUGUAAAAAAACAUUUUUUUUUUAUGGAAAAUAUACAAUAUUCUGAUCUUUCGGACAGAAUUUCCACCAGUAGGCCCGACUUUGUGUUUGUCACUGAUUGACAGUUGAGCGGUGCUAGCCAUUGAGCGAAAAGCUGUGGACUAGAUGUUCAGACGUCAGGGAUUUAGGUUUUUUUGCACAGCUACAGUAAUGUUGCCCGAUUGUUGCUGAGUGAACCGGAAUCUGGGAGAGUACCGGAAAGUAAAAAUACGGGAAAAACGACCAAAACGCAGGAGUUUCCCAAAGAAAACAUGAGCUUCGUACAACAACCUUUAAAAGCAGACUACAAAGAAAAAUAUCCACAAGAGACCAUCGCGUCCUUUGAACCGAUAGAGCCGUCAUCUGAUGAUAUUCGAUGCCAAAGCGUGCUUCUCUCACCUUUUCUUCUCACUCAAUCCUUGCUGCUGUUUCUUGAUGAUGUAUGUUGUGCCAUGUAUCCUACAUCGGGAAAACCCGUCUUUCCCGAGAGCUGGAAUUCAAGCUGUAGUAUUCUGAAAGGCUUAAUAACAUCACAGUGCUCAAGUGCACCAUUGUAUGAAAGUGCCAGAAAAGCAGAACAGGCGGCGCGGACAACAAAGGCAGCCAGCAUAUUCCACAGCA
This is a non-coding RNA of Doryrhamphus excisus (bluestripe pipefish), 1940 nucleotides long. The record is from RefSeq and is a predicted model, not a curated record. Lineage: Eukaryota; Metazoa; Chordata; Actinopteri; Syngnathiformes; Syngnathidae.